Molecule: ribosomal RNA, 759 nt
Filed under: uncultured bacterium
Lineage: Bacteria
Description: bacterial SSU rRNA
Rfam family: Bacterial small subunit ribosomal RNA
Source: RNAcentral
GAUGAACGCUAGCUACCGGCUUAACACAUGCAAGUCGAGGGGCAGCAUGGUCUUAGCUUGCUAAGGCCGAUGGCGACCGGCGCACGGGUGAGUAACACGUAUCCAACCUGCCGUCUACUCUUGGACAGCCUUCUGAAAGGAAGAUUAAUACAAGAUGGCAUCAUGAGUCCGCAUGUUCACAUGAUUAAAGGUAUUCCGGUAGACGAUGGGGAUGCGUUCCAUUAGAUAGUAGGCGGGGUAACGGCCCACCUAGUCUUCGAUGGAUAGGGGUUCUGAGAGGAAGGUCCCCCACAUUGGAACUGAGACACGGUCCAAACUCCUACGGGAGGCAGCAGUGAGGAAUAUUGGUCAAUGGGCGAGAGCCUGAACCAGCCAAGUAGCGUGAAGGAUGACUGCCCUAUGGGUUGUAAACUUCUUUUAUAAAGGAAUAAAGUCGGGUAUGCAUACCCGUUUGCAUGUACUUUAUGAAUAAGGAUCGGCUAACUCCGUGCCAGCAGCCGCGGUAAUACGGAGGAUCCGAGCGUUAUCCGGAUUUAUUGGGUUUAAAGGGAGCGUAGAUGGAUGUUUAAGUCAGUUGUGAAAGUUUGCGGCUCAACCGUAAAAUUGCAGUUGAUACUGGAUAUCUUGAGUGCAGUUGAGGCAGGCGGAAUUCGUGGUGUAGCGGUGAAAUGCUUAGAUAUCACGAAGAACUCCGAUUGCGAAGGCAGCCUGCUAAGCUGCAACUGACAUUGAGGCUCGAAAGUGUGGGUAUCAAACAGG